Long non-coding RNA from Alosa sapidissima (American shad), 556 nucleotides. RefSeq lists it as uncharacterized. Lineage: Eukaryota; Metazoa; Chordata; Actinopteri; Clupeiformes; Clupeidae. The transcript has 5 exons. The record is from RefSeq and is a predicted model, not a curated record.
UGGAAGUAGAAGCACUGACUGAUGAAGAUGUAGCAAACCUAGCUGGUGCUCUGGGGGCAGGCAAAACCCUGAGUCUGAGGACAAUAGACAGCCUGCUGUCUGAGAGCGGUGUGGAGAAGGUCCUAUGUAUGUGCCCUUGCCAAGCAGACGUCUGUGGACGCCUAUUUCAGCCUGAGUGCCCUCACAGCAGGAACUCUGAAACACCUGGUCCACUACGUGCAAAAUGCCAAGGGCAGAGCUAGUGUUAGAUGGGCCAGUAAUUAAGUAGAGGAGGAGGACUACCUCAGCUGGUACCUCACAGUAAAGACGACCAAGGACAGAAACUGCUUCAGUCUGACCCUUGUGGCCUCGUCCCGCUGUGGCUUUGUCCAGUCUGGGAGCACGGGCCCCAUCUCAGCGCUCUCACUCAGCCUGUUCAGAGCAGCUGACCUCUCGUCCUUCCAGUGAACAGAUGUCCUGCAGAGGAGCCACACACUCUGGCUCACAGAAAAGGAGGGUGGUUUACCUGCGCAUGUGGAUGGCCAGAUGAGCGCCCUGGCCCUGGUGCCGGGUCUUA